GUUUAUAUAGUUUAAUAAAAACAUCGGUCUUGUAAAUCGAAAAUAAGAAUAAAUUCUUUUUAAACU
This 66-nucleotide transfer RNA is filed under the name Potthastia sp. 1XL. RNAcentral describes it as "tRNA-Thr". It matches the Rfam family "tRNA". Rfam says of the family: Transfer RNA (tRNA) molecules are approximately 80 nucleotides in length. Their secondary structure includes four short double-helical elements and three loops (D, anti-codon, and T loops). Lineage: Eukaryota; Metazoa; Arthropoda; Insecta; Diptera; Chironomidae. The record is from RNAcentral.